GUGGUCUACACCCCACCCUUUGGCCCCUGUCCCAAGCACACGCUGCAACUUGCCGUCCUCUCUUUUUCUGUUUAAAACACGAGGUUCUACCAGGUUUGUAAACAUUACACGUCCAGUUAUUGGUGGGUUUAAGGAGCUAAGACUC
Molecule: long non-coding RNA, 145 nt
Organism: Lynx canadensis (Canada lynx)
Lineage: Eukaryota; Metazoa; Chordata; Mammalia; Carnivora; Felidae
Exons: 2
Source: RefSeq, a predicted model, not a curated record